GCCCCGAUAGCUCAAUUGGCAGAGCAGCUGACUCUUAAUCAGCGGGUUGUAGGUUCAAGUCCUACUCGGGGCAC
This 74-nucleotide transfer RNA is filed under the name Limnoglobus roseus. Its description in RNAcentral is "tRNA-Lys". It matches the Rfam family "tRNA". Rfam says of the family: Transfer RNA (tRNA) molecules are approximately 80 nucleotides in length. Lineage: Bacteria; Pseudomonadati; Planctomycetota; Planctomycetia; Gemmatales; Gemmataceae. The record is from RNAcentral.